UACGUAGGGUGCGAGCGUUCAUCGGAAUUACUGGGCGUAAAGCGUGCGCAGGCGGUCUGUUAAGACCGAUGUGAAAUCCCCGGGCUUAACCUGGGAACUGCAUUGGUGACUGGCAGGCUUUGAGUGUGGCAGAGGGAGGUAGAAUUCCACGUGUAGCAGUGAAAUGCGUAGAGAUGUGGAGGAAUACCGAUGGCGAAGGCAGCCUCCUGGGCCAACACUGACGCUCAUGCACGAAAGCGUGGGGAGCAAACAGG
This 254-nucleotide ribosomal RNA is filed under the name uncultured bacterium. RNAcentral describes it as "partial 16S ribosomal RNA". It matches the Rfam family "Bacterial small subunit ribosomal RNA", at positions 524 to 776 of the family's 1533-position model. The record is from RNAcentral.